Molecule: ribosomal RNA, 253 nt
Filed under: uncultured bacterium
Lineage: Bacteria
Description: partial 16S ribosomal RNA
Rfam family: Bacterial small subunit ribosomal RNA
Source: RNAcentral
UACGUAGGGUGCAAGCGUUGUCCGGAAUUAUUGGGCGUAAAGAGCUCGUAGGCGGUUUGUCGCGUCGAAUGUGAAAACCCGGGGCUCAACCCCGGGCCUGCAGCCGAUACGGGCAAACUAGAAUUCGGUAGGGGAGACUGGAAUUCCUGGUGUAGCGGUGAAAUGCGCAGAUAUCAGGAGGAACACCGGUGGCGAAGGCGGGUCUCUGGGCCGAUAUUGACGCUGAGGAGCGAAAGCGUGGGGAGCGAACAGG